This 80-nucleotide small nucleolar RNA is filed under the name Stomoxys calcitrans (stable fly). Its description in RNAcentral is "small nucleolar RNA psi18S-841/snoR66". It matches the Rfam family "Small nucleolar RNA psi18S-841/snoR66". From Rfam's summary of the family: psi18S-841 is a member of the H/ACA class of snoRNA. This family is responsible for guiding the modification of uridine 841 in Drosophila 18S rRNA to pseudouridine. The record is from RNAcentral. Lineage: Eukaryota; Metazoa; Arthropoda; Insecta; Diptera; Muscidae.
UGCAAGGGCACUCUGUGUCACAUUGAUACUAUGCCACAAGUGGAACAAUUUGUAACCUUGCUAUAGAAAAACUCCUUUUU